AGGAUGAACGCUAGCUACAGGCUUAACACAUGCAAGUCGAGGGGCAGCAUGGUCUUAGCUUGCUAAGGCCGAUGGCGACCGGCGCACGGGUGAGUAACACGUAUCCAACCUGUCGUCUACUCUUGGACAGCCUUCUGAAAGGAAGAUUAAUACAAGAUGGCAUCAUGAGUCCACAUGUUCACAUGAUUAAAGGUAUUCCGGUAGACGAUGGGGAUGCGUUCCAUUAGAUAGUAGGCGGGGUAACGGCCCACCUAGUCUUCGAUGGAUAGGGGUUCUGAGAGGAAGGUCCCCCACAUUGGAACUGAGACACGGUCCAAACUCCUACGGGAGGCAGCAGUGAGGAAUAUUGGUCAAUGGGCGAGAGCCUGAACCAGCCAAGUAGCGUGAAGGAUGACUGCCCUAUGGGUUGUAAACUUCUUUUAUAGAGGAAUAAAGUCGGGUAUGGAUACCCGUUUGCAUGUACUUUAUGAAUAAGGAUCGGCUAACUCCGUGCCAGCAGCCGCGGUAAUAUGGAGGAUCCGAGCGUUAUCCGGAUUUAUUGGGUUUAAAGGGAGCGUAGAUGGAUGUUUAAGUCAGUUGUGAAAGUUUGCGGCUCAACCGUAAAAUUGCAGUUGAUACUGGAUAUCUUGAGUGCAGUUGAGGCAGGCGGAAUUCGUGGUGUAGCGGUGAAAUGCUUAGAUAUCACGAAGAACUCCGAUUGCGAAGGCAGCCUGCUAAGCUGCAACUGACAUCGAGGCUCGAAAGUGUGGGUAUCAAACAGGAUUAGAUACCCUGGUAGUCCACACGGUAAACGAUGAAUACUCGCUGUUUGCGAUAUACAGCAAGCGGCCAAGCGAAAGCGUUAAGUAUUCCACCUGGGGAGUACGCCGGCAACGGUGAAACUCAAAGGAAUUGACGGGGGCCCGCACAAGCGGAGGAACAUGUGGUUUAAUUCGAUGAUACGCGAGGAACCUUACCCGGGCUUAAAUUGCAGAUGAAUUACGGUGAAAGCCGUAAGCCGCAAGGCAUCUGUGAAGGUGCUGCAUGGUUGUCGUCAGCUCGUGCCGUGAGGUGUCGGCUUAAGUGCCAUAACGAGCGCAACCCUUGUUGUCAGUUACUAACAGGUUCCGCUGAGGACUCUGACAAGACUGCCAUCGUAAGAUGUGAGGAAGGUGGGGAUGACGUCAAAUCAGCACGGCCCUUACGUCCGGGGCUACACACGUGUUACAAUGGGGGGUACAGAGGGCCGCUACCACGCGAGUGGAUGCCAAUCCCAAAAACCUCUCUCAGUUCGGACUGGAGUCUGCAACCCGACUCCACGAAGCUGGAUUCGCCAGUAAUCGCGCAUCAGCCACGGCGCGGUGAAUACGUUCCCGGGCCUUGUACACACCGCCCGUCAAGCCAUGGGAGCCGGGGGUACCUGAAGUGCGUAACCGCGAGGAGCGCCCUAGGGUAAAACUGGUGACUGGGGCUAA
Molecule: ribosomal RNA, 1454 nt
Filed under: uncultured organism
Description: SSU rRNA
Rfam family: Bacterial small subunit ribosomal RNA
Source: RNAcentral